This 253-nucleotide ribosomal RNA is filed under the name uncultured bacterium. Its description in RNAcentral is "partial 16S ribosomal RNA". It matches the Rfam family "Bacterial small subunit ribosomal RNA", at positions 524 to 776 of the family's 1533-position model. The record is from RNAcentral.
UACAGAGGAUGCAAGCGUUAUCCGGAAUUAUUGGGCGUAAAGAGCUCGUAGGCGGUUUGUCGCGUCUGCUGUGAAAACCUAAGGCUCAACCUUGGGCUUGCAGUGGGUACGGGCAGACUAGAGUGCGGUAGGGGUGACUGGAAUUCCUGGUGUAGCGGUGGAAUGCGCAGAUAUCAGGAGGAACACCGAUGGCGAAGGCAGGUCACUGGGCCGCAACUGACGCUGAGGAGCGAAAGCGUGGGGAGCGAACAGG